Molecule: ribosomal RNA, 513 nt
Filed under: uncultured bacterium
Lineage: Bacteria
Description: partial 16S ribosomal RNA
Rfam family: Bacterial small subunit ribosomal RNA
Source: RNAcentral
GACGAACGCUGGCGGCGUGCUUAACACAUGCAAGUCGAACGAAAAGAGGGAAAGAGCUUGCUCUUUCCGGAAUUGAGUGGCAAACGGGUGAGUAACACGUAAACAACCUGCCUUCAGGAUGGGGACAACAGACGGAAACGACUGCUAAUACCGAAUAAGUUCCAAGGGCCGCAUGGCCCAUGGAAGAAAAGGUGGCCUCUACCUGUAAGCUAUCGCCUGAAGAGGGGUUUGCGUCUGAUUAGCUGGUAGGAGGGGUAACGGCCCACCAAGGCGACGAUCAGUAGCCGGUCUGAGAGGAUGAACGGCCACACUGGAAUUGAGACACGGUCCAGACUCCUACGGGAGGCAGCAGUGGGGAAUCUUCCGCAAUGGGCGAAAGCCUGACGGAGCAACGCCGCGUGAGUGAUGACGGCCUUCGGGUUGUAAAACUCUGUGAUCCGGGACGAAAAGGCAGAGUGCGAAGAACAAACUGCAUUGACGGUACCGGAAAAGCAAGCCACGGCUAACUACGUG